CGGGGUGUAGCGCAGUUUGGUAGCGCGCUUGGUUUGGGACCAAGAUGCCGCAGGUUCGAGUCCUGUCACCCCGACCA
Molecule: transfer RNA, 77 nt
Filed under: Clostridiales bacterium
Lineage: Bacteria; Bacillati; Bacillota; Clostridia; Eubacteriales
Also listed under: 3 other names
Description: tRNA-Pro
Rfam family: tRNA
About the family: Transfer RNA (tRNA) molecules are approximately 80 nucleotides in length. Their secondary structure includes four short double-helical elements and three loops (D, anti-codon, and T loops).
Source: RNAcentral